CCUACGGGAGGCAGCAGUAGGGAAUAUUGGGCAAUGGGCGCGAGCCUGACCCAGCCAUGCCGCGUGCCGGAUGAAGGCCUUCUGGGUUGUAAACGGCUUUUCUCAGGGAAGAAAAAGGUGAUGCGUCACAAACUGACGGUACCUGAGGAAUAAGCACCGGCUAACUCCGUGCCAGCAGCCGCGGUAAUACGGAGGGUGCAAGCGUUGUCCGGAUUUAUUGGGUUUAAAGGGUGCGUAGGUGGCCCGUUAAGUCCGGGGUGAAAGCCCACAGCUCAACUGUGGAACUGCCCUGGAUACUGGCGGGCUUGAGUCCAGACGAGGUUGGCGGAAUGGAAGAUGUAGCGGUGAAAUGCAUAGAUAUCUUCCAGAACCCCGAUUGCGUAGGCAGCUGACUAGGCUGGUACUGACACUGAGGCACGAAAGCGUGGGGAGCGAACAGGAUUAGAUACCCUGGUAGUCCACGCCGUAAACGAUGGAUACUCGCUGGUGGCGAUAGACAGUCACUGGCUUAGCGAAAGCGGUAAGCAUCCCACCUGGGGAGUACGCUCGCAAGAGUGAAACUCAAAGGAAUUGACGGCGNGAGAGNGCGAGACGACGACGAGGGAGGAGG
Molecule: ribosomal RNA, 610 nt
Filed under: uncultured bacterium
Lineage: Bacteria
Description: bacterial SSU rRNA
Rfam family: Bacterial small subunit ribosomal RNA
Source: RNAcentral